This 499-nucleotide ribosomal RNA is filed under the name uncultured soil bacterium. Its description in RNAcentral is "bacterial SSU rRNA". It matches the Rfam family "Bacterial small subunit ribosomal RNA", at positions 26 to 519 of the family's 1533-position model. The record is from RNAcentral.
AGAUUGAACGCUGGCGGCAGGCCUAACACAUGCAAGUCGAGCGGUAGAGAGGUGCUUGCAUCUCUUGAGAGCGGCGGACGGGUGAGUAAUGCCUAGGAAUCUGCCUAGUGGUGGGGGAUAACGUUCGGAAACGGACGCUAAUACCGCAUACGUCCUACGGGAGAAAGCGGGGGACCUUCGGGCCUCGCGCCAUUAGAUGAGCCUAGGUCGGAUUAGCUAGUUGGUGAGGUAAUGGCUCACCAAAGGCGACGAUCCGUAACUGGUCUGAGAGGAUGAUCAGUCACACUGGAACUGAGACACGGUCCAGACUCCUACGGAGGCAGCAGUGGGGAAUAUUGGACAAUGGGCGAAAGCCUGAUCCAGCCAUGCCGCGUGUGUGAAGAAGGUCUUCGGAUUGUAAAGCACUUUAAGUUGGAGGAAGGUUGUAACCUAAUACGUUAGCAACUUUGACGUUAACCGACAGAAUAAGACACCGGCUAACGUCGUGCCAGCAGCCGUA